AACAGGAUUAGAUACCCUGGUAGUCCACGCCCUAAACGAUGUCUACUAGUUGUCGGGUUUUAAUUAACUUGGUAACGCAGCUAACGCGUGAAGUAGACCGCCUGGGGAGUACGGUCGCAAGAUUAAAACUCAAAGGAAUUGACGGGGACCCGCACAAGCGGUGGAUGAUGUGGAUUAAUUCGAUGCAACGCGAAAAACCUUACCUACCCUUGACAUGUCAGGAACCUCGGAGAGAUCUGAGGGUGCUCGAAAGAGAGCCUGAACACAGGUGCUGCAUGGCUGUCGUCAGCUCGUGUCGUGAGAUGUUGGGUUAAGUCCCGCAACGAGCGCAACCCUUGUCAUUAGUUGCUACGAAAGGGCACUCUAAUGAGACUGCCGGUGACAAACCGGAGGAAGGUGGGGAUGACGUCAAGUCCUCAUGGCCCUUAUGGGUAGGGCUUCACACGUCAUACAAUGGUACAUACAGAGGGCCGCCAACCCGCGAGGGGGAGCUAAUCCCAGAAAGUGUAUCGUAGUCCGGAUUGUAGUCUGCAACUCGACUACAUGAAGUUGGAAUCGCUAGUAAUCGCGGAUCAGCAUGUCGCGGUGAAUACGUUCCCGGGUCUUGUACACACCGCCCGUCACACCAUGGGAGCGGGUUUUACCAGAAGUAGGUAGCUUAACCGCAAGGAGGGCGCUUACCACGGUAGGAUUCGUGACUGGGGUGAAGUCGUAACAAGGUAACC
Molecule: ribosomal RNA, 725 nt
Filed under: uncultured bacterium
Lineage: Bacteria
Description: bacterial SSU rRNA
Rfam family: Bacterial small subunit ribosomal RNA
Source: RNAcentral